Molecule: ribosomal RNA, 484 nt
Filed under: uncultured bacterium
Lineage: Bacteria
Description: partial 16S ribosomal RNA
Rfam family: Bacterial small subunit ribosomal RNA
Source: RNAcentral
AUUGAACGCUGGCGGCAGGCCUAACACAUGCAAGUCGAGCGGAUGAAGGGGGCUUGCUCCUGGAUUCAGCGGCGGACGGGUGAGUAAUGCCUAGGAAUCUGCCUGGUAGUGGGGGAUAACGUCCGGAAACGGGCGCUAAUACCGCAUACGUCCUGAGGGAGAAAGUGGGGGAUCUUCGGACCUCACGCUAUCAGAUGAGCCUAGGUCGGAUUAGCUAGUUGGUGGGGUAAAGGCCUACCAAGGCGACGAUCCGUAACUGGUCUGAGAGGAUGAUCAGUCACACUGGAACUGAGACACGGUCCAGACUCCUACGGGAGGCAGCAGUGGGGAAUAUUGGACAAUGGGCGAAAGCCUGAUCCAGCCAUGCCGCGUGUGUGAAGAAGGUCUUCGGAUUGUAAAGCACUUUAAGUUGGGAGGAAGGGCAGUAAGUUAAUACCUUGCUGUUUUGGCGUUACCAACAGAAUAAGCACCGGCUAACUUCGUG